AGCAGCCGCGGUAAUUCCAGCUCCAAUAGCGUAUAUUAAAGUUGUUGCAGUUAAAAAGCUCGUAGUUGAAUUUUGGAUUCUGCCAGUUGGUCCAUCUUUUGAUGAGUACUGAUUGUGUGGGGUCUAUCCGCCUGGUGGUACGUAACGUACUUUAUUGUAUGUUGCGGGUAGUCAGGACCUUUACCUUGAAAAAUUAGAGUGUUUAAAGCAGGCUUAUGCCGGAAUACAUUAGCAUGGAAUAAUAGAAUAGGACGAUGUUGUUUUAUUUUGUUGGUUUCUAGGACAACCGUAAUGAUUAAUAGGGAUAGUUGGGGGCAUUAGUAUUCAAUUGUCAGAGGUGAAAUUCUUGGAUUUAUUGAAGACUAACUACUGCGAAAGCAUUUGCCAAGGAUGUUUUCAUUAAUCAAGAACGAAAGUUAGGGGAUCGAGGACGAUCAGAUACCGUCGUAGUCUUAACCAUAAACUAUGCCGACUAGGGAUCGGGCGAUGUUGUUUCCAUGACUCGCUCGGCACCUUAUG
Molecule: ribosomal RNA, 519 nt
Filed under: uncultured Glomeromycotina
Lineage: Eukaryota; Fungi; Glomeromycota
Description: SSU rRNA
Rfam family: Eukaryotic small subunit ribosomal RNA
Source: RNAcentral